Non-coding RNA from Caenorhabditis elegans, 88 nucleotides. Lineage: Eukaryota; Metazoa; Nematoda; Chromadorea; Rhabditida; Rhabditidae. The record is from Ensembl.
UUUUUGGGUCAAAACGACACUUUUUUGUUAGAUUAAAGAGUACUGUGAGUUCAAGCUCUUAUUGCUUCAUCGGUUUUUCGUAAUUUUC